Molecule: ribosomal RNA, 254 nt
Filed under: uncultured bacterium
Lineage: Bacteria
Description: partial 16S ribosomal RNA
Rfam family: Bacterial small subunit ribosomal RNA
Source: RNAcentral
UACGUAGGGUGCGAGCGUUGUCCGGAUUUAUUGGGCGUAAAGAGCUCGUAGGUGGUUCGGUAAGUCGGGUGUUAAACCCCCAGGCUCAACCUGGGGACGCCACUCGAUACUGCUGUGACUAGAGUCCGGUAGGGGAGCGUGGAAUUCCUGGUGUAGCGGUGAAAUGCGCAGAUAUCAGGAGGAACACCAGCGGCGAAGGCGGCGCUCUGGGCCGGUACUGACACUGAGGAGCGAAAGCGUGGGUAGCAAACAGG